GCCCAGACUCCUACGGGAGGCAGCAGUGGGGAAUAUUGCACAAUGGGGGGAACCCUGAUGCAGCAACGCCGCGUGAGUGAAGAAGUAUUUCGAUAUGUAAAGCUCUAUCAGCGGGGAAGAGGAUGACGGUACCUGAGUAAGAAGCCCCGGCUAACUACGUGCCAGCAGCCGCGGUAAUACGUAGGGGGCAAGCGUUAUCCGGAUUUACUGGGUGUAAAGGGAGCGUAGACGGCAGCGCAAGUCUGAAGUGAAAUGCCGGGGCUUAACCCCGGAACUGCUUUGGAAACUGUGCAGCUAGAGUGCAGGAGAGGGAAGUGGAAUUCCUAGUGUAGCGGUGAAAUGCGUAGAUAUUAGGAGGAACACCAGUGGCGAAGGCGGCGUACUGGACUGUAACUGACGUUGAGGCUCGAAAGCGUGGGGAGCAAACAGGAUUAGAUACCCUGGUAUAA
RNAcentral lists this ribosomal RNA (449 nucleotides) under uncultured bacterium. RNAcentral's name for it is "bacterial SSU rRNA". It matches the Rfam family "Bacterial small subunit ribosomal RNA", at positions 329 to 793 of the family's 1533-position model. The record is from RNAcentral.